RNAcentral lists this ribosomal RNA (375 nucleotides) under Petroderma maculiforme. RNAcentral describes it as "SSU rRNA". It matches the Rfam family "Eukaryotic small subunit ribosomal RNA", at positions 1458 to 1829 of the family's 1831-position model. The record is from RNAcentral. Lineage: Eukaryota; Phaeophyceae.
AGGUCUGUGAUGCCCUUAGAUGUCCUGGGCCGCACGCGCGCUACACUGAUGCAUGCAACGAGUCUUUUUUUCCCUGGGUCGAGAGGCCCGGGUAAUCUGUUGAACGUGCAUCGUGAUAGGGAUAGAUCAUUGCAAUUAUUGAUCUUGAACGAGGAAUUCCUAGUAAACGCGUGUCAUCAGCACGCAUUGAUUACGUCCCUGCCCUUUGUACACACCGCCCGUCGCACCUACCGAUUGAAUGUUUCGGUGAAGAUUCCGGACCGUGGCUCGUGCGCUUCACGGCGCUCUUGCCGUGGGAAGUUAUCUAAACCUCAACAUUUAGAGGAAGGUGAAGUCGUAACAAGGUUUCCGUAGGUGAACCUGCGGAAGGAUCAU